Molecule: ribosomal RNA, 433 nt
Filed under: uncultured bacterium
Lineage: Bacteria
Description: partial 16S ribosomal RNA
Rfam family: Bacterial small subunit ribosomal RNA
Source: RNAcentral
AGCGAACGCUGGCGGCAGGCCUAACACAUGCAAGUCGAACGAACUCUUCGGAGUUAGUGGCGGACGGGUGAGUAACACGUGGGAACGUGCCUUUAGGUUCGGAAUAACUCAGGGAAACUUGUGCUAAUACCGAAUGUGCCCUUCGGGGGAAAGAUUUAUCGCCUUUAGAGCGGCCCGCGUCUGAUUAGCUAGUUGGUGAGGUAAAGGCUCACCAAGGCGACGAUCAGUAGCUGGUCUGAGAGGAUGAUCAGCCACAUUGGGACUGAGACACGGCCCAAACUCCUACGGGAGGCAGCAGUGGGGAAUCUUGCGCAAUGGGCGAAAGCCUGACGCAGCCAUGCCGCGUGAAUGAUGAAGGUCUUAGGAUUGUAAAAUUCUUUCACCGGGGACGAUAAUGACGGUACCCGGAGGAGAAGCCCCGGCUAACUUCGUG